AUAGUCCUACGGGAGGCAGCAGUAGGGAAUCUUCCACAAUGGGCGCAAGCCUGAUGGAGCAACACCGCGUGAGUGAAGAAGGGUUUCGGCUCGUAAAGCUCUGUUGUUGGAGAAGAACGUGCGUGAGAGUGACUGUUCACGCAGUGACGGUAUCCAACCCGAAAGUCACGGCUAACUACGUGCCAGCAGCCGCGGUAAUACGUAGGUGGCAAGCGUUAUCCGGAUUUAUUGGG
RNAcentral lists this ribosomal RNA (233 nucleotides) under uncultured bacterium. Its description in RNAcentral is "partial 16S ribosomal RNA". It matches the Rfam family "Bacterial small subunit ribosomal RNA", at positions 333 to 558 of the family's 1533-position model. The record is from RNAcentral.